GUGGGUAUAGCUCAGUGGUAGAGCGCAUGCUUAACACGCAUGAGCAAGUACGAGGUCCUGGGUUCAGUUCCCAGGACUUCCA
This 82-nucleotide transfer RNA is filed under the name Camelus dromedarius (Arabian camel). It matches the Rfam family "tRNA". Rfam says of the family: Transfer RNA (tRNA) molecules are approximately 80 nucleotides in length. Their secondary structure includes four short double-helical elements and three loops (D, anti-codon, and T loops). Lineage: Eukaryota; Metazoa; Chordata; Mammalia; Artiodactyla; Camelidae. RNAcentral also lists the same sequence under 1 other name. The record is from Rfam by way of RNAcentral.